CUGGCGGCGAGUGGCGAACGGGUGAGUAAUAUAUCGGAACGUACCCAAGAGUGGGGGACAACGUUUCGAAAGGAACGCUAAUACCGCAUACGUCCUACGGGAGAAAGCAGGGGACCUUCGGGCCUUGCGCUAUCAGAUGAGCCUAGGUCGGAUUAGCUAGUUGGUGAGGUAAUGGCUCACCAAGGCGACGAUCCGUAACUGGUCUGAGAGGAUGAUCAGUCACACUGGAACUGAGACACGGUCCAGACUCCUACGGGAGGCAGCAGUGGGGAAUAUUGGACAAUGGGCGAAAGCCUGAUCCAGCCAUGCCGCGUGUGUGAAGAAGGUCUUCGGAUUGUAAAGCACUUUAAGUUGGGAGGAAGGGCAUUAACCUAAUACGUUAGUGUUUUGACGUUACCGACAGAAUAAGCACCGGCUAACUCUGUGCCAGCAGCCGCGGUAAUACAGAGGGUGCAAGCGUUAAUCGGAAUUACUGGGCGUAAAGCGCGCGUAGGUGGUUUGUUAAGUUGGAUGUGAAAUCCCCGGGCUCAACCUGGGA
RNAcentral lists this ribosomal RNA (538 nucleotides) under uncultured Pseudomonas sp. RNAcentral's name for it is "bacterial SSU rRNA". It matches the Rfam family "Bacterial small subunit ribosomal RNA", at positions 85 to 619 of the family's 1533-position model. The record is from RNAcentral. Lineage: Bacteria; Pseudomonadati; Pseudomonadota; Gammaproteobacteria; Pseudomonadales; Pseudomonadaceae.